UUGUAGAUUGCAGGUUGGAGUCUGUGUGGAAGGCGGUGUCCAAGUCCCUUGGAACAGGGCGCCCAGGAGGGUGAGAGCCCCGUGGGAUGCCGGCGGAAGCAGUGAGGCCCUUCUGACGAGUCGAGUUGUUUGGGAAUGCAGCUCCAAGCGGGUGGUAAAUUCCAUCUAAGGCUAAAUACUGGCGAGAGACCGAUAGCGAACAAGUACUGUGAAGGAAAGAUGAAAAGCACUUUGAAAAGAGAGUGAAACAGCACGUGAAAUUGUUGAAAGGGAAGGGUAUUGCGCCCGACAUGGGGAUUGCGCACCGCUGCCUCUCGUGGGCGGCGCUCUGGGCUUUCCCUGGGCCAGCAUCGGUUCUUGCUGCAGGAGAAGGGGUUCUGGAACGUGGCUCUUCGGAGUGUUAUAGCCAGGGCCAGAUGCUGCGUGCGGGGACCGAGGACUGCGGCCGUGUAGGUCACGGAUGCUGG
Molecule: ribosomal RNA, 467 nt
Filed under: Pichia kudriavzevii
Lineage: Eukaryota; Fungi; Ascomycota; Pichiomycetes; Pichiales; Pichiaceae
Description: partial large subunit ribosomal RNA
Rfam family: Eukaryotic large subunit ribosomal RNA
Source: RNAcentral